RNAcentral lists this non-coding RNA (19 nucleotides) under Arabidopsis thaliana (thale cress). Lineage: Eukaryota; Viridiplantae; Streptophyta; Magnoliopsida; Brassicales; Brassicaceae. The record is from RNAcentral.
UUUGGUUCAGGUCUAGUCA